UGGGGAAUAUUGCACAAUGGGCGCAAGCCUGAUGCAGCGACGCCGCGUGAGUGAAGAAGUAUUUCGGUAUGUAAAGCUCUAUCAGCAGGGAAGAAAAUGACGGUACCUGACUAAGAAGCUCCGGCUAAAUACGUGCCAGCAGCCGCGGUAAUACGUAUGGAGCAAGCGUUAUCCGGAUUUACUGGGUGUAAAGGGAGCGUAGACGGAAUUGCAAGUCUGAUGUGAAAGGCGGGGGCUCAACCCCCGGCACUGCAUUGGAAACUGUAAAUCUUGAGUGCCGGAGAGGUAAGCGGAAUUCCUGGUGUAGCGGUGAAAUGCGUAGAUAUCAGGAGGAACACCAGUGGCGAAGGCGGCUUACUGGACGGUAACUGACGUUGAGGCUCGAAAGCGUGGGGAGCAAACAGGAUUAGAUACCC
This 416-nucleotide ribosomal RNA is filed under the name uncultured bacterium. RNAcentral describes it as "bacterial SSU rRNA". It matches the Rfam family "Bacterial small subunit ribosomal RNA", at positions 355 to 787 of the family's 1533-position model. The record is from RNAcentral.